AAGCCAUGGUGCGGACAUGCAGCAACAUACUCUUGCAUUCUCUCCCAAACAUCGGGAAUGGAUUCCUCAGCUUGUUGUGUAAAACUGGAGAAUUUGUUGUGAAGAGCAU
This 109-nucleotide small nucleolar RNA is filed under the name Sorghum bicolor (sorghum). RNAcentral describes it as "Plant small nucleolar RNA R71". It matches the Rfam family "Plant small nucleolar RNA R71". Rfam says of the family: R71 is a member of the C/D box family of snoRNAs containing the C (UGAUGA) and D (CUGA) box motifs. Multiple nearly identical copies of this snoRNA have been identified in Arabidopsis, and it is thought to function as a 2'-O-ribose methylation guide for 18S ribosomal RNA. The record is from Rfam by way of RNAcentral. Lineage: Eukaryota; Viridiplantae; Streptophyta; Magnoliopsida; Poales; Poaceae.